Molecule: ribosomal RNA, 253 nt
Filed under: uncultured bacterium
Lineage: Bacteria
Description: partial 16S ribosomal RNA
Rfam family: Bacterial small subunit ribosomal RNA
Source: RNAcentral
UACGUAGGGUGCGAGCGUUGUCCGGAAUUAUUGGGCGUAAAGGGCUUGUAGGCGGUUUGUCGCGUCUGCCGUGAAAUCCUCUGGCUUAACUGGGGGCGUGCGGUGGGUACGGGCAGACUUGAGUGCGGUAGGGGAGACUGGAACUCCUGGUGUAGCGGUGGAAUGCGCAGAUAUCAGGAAGAACACCGGUGGCGAAGGCGGGUCUCUGGGCCGUUACUGACGCUGAGGAGCGAAAGCGUGGGGAGCGAACAGG